GAUGAAGAACGUAGCGAAAUGCGACAAGUAAUGUGAAUUGCAGAAUUCCGUGAAUCAUCGAGUCUUUGAACGCACAUUGCGCCCCCUGGUAUUCCGGGGGGCAUGCCUGUCCGAGCGUCAUUGCUGCCCUCAAGCACGGCUUGUGUGUUGGGCCUCCGUCCUCCUCCCGGGGGACGGGCCCGAAAGGCAGCGGCGACACCGCGUCCGGUCCUCGAGCGUAUGGGGCUUCGUCACCCGCUCUUGUAGGCCCGGCCGGCGCUUGCCGACACAUCAAUCUUUUUUCCAGGUUGACCUCGGAUCAGGUAGGGAUACCCGCUGAACUUAAGCAUAUCAAUAAGCGGAGGA
Molecule: unclassified non-coding RNA, 345 nt
Filed under: soil metagenome
Description: partial contains 5.8S ribosomal RNA, internal transcribed spacer 2, and large subunit ribosomal RNA
Rfam family: 5.8S ribosomal RNA (bases 1-120)
Source: RNAcentral